This is a long non-coding RNA of Amphimedon queenslandica, 575 nucleotides long. RefSeq lists it as uncharacterized. NCBI's taxonomy places the organism in Eukaryota, Metazoa, Porifera, Demospongiae, Haplosclerida, Niphatidae. The transcript is spliced from 3 exons. The record is from RefSeq and is a predicted model, not a curated record.
AAUAGCUAUUGUUUAUUGUUCAGACAUUGACCUUUUCCUUUAGCUAAUAGUACAAAGAAAGGGAUCUGGAAAACUGGAGCAUAGAGUGAGUGCACUCAGGAGUGUGGAGGAGGACGUAGACAAAGGAGCAUCACUUGUGUUGACUCUAAGACUAAUGAGGAAUUAAGUUCUAGUAAAUGUAAUGCCUUAAAGCCUUCAGAGAAUGAGCCAUGCAACUUGCAAGACUGUUGCUUUGAUGUUGUAUCUCUGUGCAGUACAGUCAAAAGCCUUUGCUCAUACAACAAGAUCAAGGACAUGUGUUGCAAGACAUGCAGUGCCUGAAAUGUCCAAGUGUUUUGCUGUUGCUUUUUUCUAUUUUGCUGCUAGAUCUAAACUUUCAUAAUUCUUUUGUGAAACUUUAUAGAUCUAUAUAUAUGCUGUUAGUUUUGUUUUAUUUUUGCCAGCUCAUAAAAUGACCUCAAACCAUUGACAUCUGUUUAUAUUAUUUUUAUAAUAUGAUUGAUAAACUGUCACAAUUCAGACACCUGGUCUGUCUUGAUCACCCACUCACUCUUUUUGUACAUUAUUUAAAACAA